RNAcentral lists this ribosomal RNA (387 nucleotides) under uncultured bacterium. RNAcentral's name for it is "bacterial SSU rRNA". It matches the Rfam family "Bacterial small subunit ribosomal RNA", at positions 30 to 417 of the family's 1533-position model. The record is from RNAcentral.
AUUGAACGCUGGCGGCAUGCCUUACACAUGCAAGUCGAACGGCAGCACGGGAGCAAUCCUGGUGGCGAGUGGCGAACGGGUGAGUAAUAUAUCGGAACGUGCCCAGUCGUGGGGAUAACGUAGCGAAAGCUACGCUAAUACCGCAUACGAUCUAUGGAUGAAAGCGGGGGAUCGCAAGACCUCGCGCGAUUGGAGCGGCCGAUAUCAGAUUAGGUAGUUGGUGAGGUAAAGGCUCGCCAAGCCGACGAUCUGUAGCUGGUCUGAGAGGACGACCAGCCACACUGGGACUGAGACACGGCCCAGACUCCUACGGGAGGCAGCAGUGGGGAAUUUUUGGACAAUGGGCGCAAGCCUGAUCCAGCAAUGCCGCGUGCAGGAUGAAGGCCU